AGAGUUUGAUCAUGGCUCAGAACGAACGCUGGCGGCAUGCCUAACACAUGCAAGUCGAACGAGACCUUCGGGUCUAGUGGCGCACGGGUGCGUAACGCGUGGGAACCUGCCUUUAGGUUCGGGAUAACAGUUGGAAACGACUGCUAAUACCGAAUGAUGUCUUCGGACCAAAGAUUUAUCGCCUUUAGAUGGGCCCGCGUUGGAUUAGGUAGUUGGUGGGGUAAAGGCCUACCAAGCCGACGAUCCAUAGCUGGUCUGAGAGGAUGAUCAGCCACACUGGGACUGAGACACGGCCCAGACUCCUACGGGAGGCAGCAGUGGGGAAUAUUGGACAAUGGGCGAAAGCCUGAUCCAGCAAUGCCGCGUGAGUGAUGAAGGCCUUAGGGUUGUAAAGCUCUUUUACUGGGGAUGAUAAUGACAGUACC
This 425-nucleotide ribosomal RNA is filed under the name Sphingomonas sp. SKA59. RNAcentral describes it as "bacterial SSU rRNA". It matches the Rfam family "Bacterial small subunit ribosomal RNA", at positions 8 to 479 of the family's 1533-position model. Lineage: Bacteria; Pseudomonadati; Pseudomonadota; Alphaproteobacteria; Sphingomonadales; Sphingomonadaceae. The record is from RNAcentral.